This is a non-coding RNA of Cucurbita pepo subsp. pepo (vegetable marrow), 461 nucleotides long. Lineage: Eukaryota; Viridiplantae; Streptophyta; Magnoliopsida; Cucurbitales; Cucurbitaceae. The record is from RefSeq and is a predicted model, not a curated record.
UAUAGAUUGUUUUACUGAUGAUUACACUUAGUUGUAUCUAUAUUUUACUUUCAGGCAUUUUCUUAUAGUGCUUCUUUUGCAAAGAUUAAUCCUUUUGAUCUCUUUAAUCUGUUGUCUCACAUGCAUGACUAUUCAUUUUUUUGCAAAUAGAAGUUUUAUAUUGUUAUUGCAUCUGUUUGUUAUUACGAUAAUAUAAUAUUCAUGACAGUUACACUUUGUGAUAAAAUUUUAAUUGUUGCCAACAGAACACAGACAUGUUGGGUCGACGAAUUUCAAUUUGUUAAGCAGCAGAAGCCAUACAAUAUUUACAUUGACUAUAGAGAGCAGUGCAUUUGGUGAAAGCAGUGAAGGAGAAGCUGUAAACCUGUCUCAACUGGUUCCGAGAGCUCAAAAGCUGAAACUACUGGUAUAAGGCGAAAAGAGGGAUCAUAUAUUAAUAAAAGCCUGCUAACUCUUGGAAC